GAUUAACGCUGGCGGCGUGCCUAACACAUGCAAGUCGAGCGGCAGCGAGUUUUACACUGAAUUCUGGAAGCUUCUAGUUGAAAGAGAAGAUUUAUUCAAGAAUUUUGUGUAAAAUGUCGGCGAGCGGCGGACGGCUGAGUAACGCGUGGGAACGUACCCCAAAGUGAGGGAUAACGCAUCGAAAGGUGUGCUAAUACCGCAUAUGGUCUUCGGAUUAAAGCCUUCGGGCGCUUUGGGAACGGCCUGCGUAAGAUUAGAUAGUUGGUGGGGUAAUGGCCUACCAAGUCGACGAUCUUUAACUGGUUUGAGAGGAUGAUCAGUCAGACUGGAACUGAGACACGGUCCAGACUCCUACGGGAGGCAGCAGUGAGGAAUCUUCCACAAUGGGCGAAAGCCUGAUGGAGCAACGCCGCGUGCAGGAUGAAGGCCUUCGGGUUGUAAACUGCUUUUAUAAGUGAGGAUUAUGACAGUACUUAUGAAUAAGGAUCGGCUAACUACGUG
RNAcentral lists this ribosomal RNA (501 nucleotides) under uncultured bacterium. RNAcentral describes it as "partial 16S ribosomal RNA". It matches the Rfam family "Bacterial small subunit ribosomal RNA", at positions 28 to 507 of the family's 1533-position model. The record is from RNAcentral.